GACGAACGCUGGCGGCGUGCCUAAUACAUGCAAGUCGAACGAACCGCGACUAAGUGCUUGCACUAAGUCAAGGUGAGUGGCGAACGGGUGAGUAACACGUGGGUAACCUACCUCAUAGUGGGGGAUAACAGUCGGAAACGACUGCUAAUACCGCAUAGGACAUAGGAUCACAUGAUCCAGUGAGGAAAGGUGGCGCAAGCUAUCGCUAAGAGAUGGACCCGCGGUGCAUUAGCUAGUUGGUAGGGUAAAGGCCUACCAAGGCGAUGAUGCAUAGCCGACCUGAGAGGGUGAUCGGCCACAUUGGGACUGAGACACGGCCCAAACUCCUACGGGAGGCAGCAGUAGGGAAUCUUCCGCAAUGGACGCAAGUCUGACGGAGCAACGCCGCGUGAGUGUAGAAGGUCUUCGGAUCGUAAAGCUCUGUUGUUAGAGAAGAACAGCGCAUAGAGUAACUGCUAUGCGUGUGACGGUAUCUAACCAGAAAGCCACGGCUAACUACGUG
This 502-nucleotide ribosomal RNA is filed under the name uncultured bacterium. Its description in RNAcentral is "partial 16S ribosomal RNA". It matches the Rfam family "Bacterial small subunit ribosomal RNA", at positions 28 to 507 of the family's 1533-position model. The record is from RNAcentral.